GAGUGAAUCAAAUACCCAAUACCUGGGCCGAUUAUCAAAUCAGAAACCCCAAAACAGUAGCAGAGAGUAUCGUUCCCAAAUCUGAAACCCUACAAUUUCGAAAUGGUAUCAAAUCAGUAGCAGAAGUCAAAUUCGACGAAGAACUAACCCAAGAAAUCAAGUCAACAUACUCUCUGUCUUGAUUUCCAGCAAAACAAUCGGUUUUCAUCUUUGAAUCAUAGUGAAUGCGAAGGUGGGUCGGAGGUGGGUUCUGCGGCGGCCGGAGAACCAGCCAAGGAGGUGGGAGGAGGGGGGUUUGGGGUUGGGCAAGGUGGCGGAGGAGUGGAUCGAUUCGACCCGGAGGGGUGUAGAAGGAGAGGGAGGAAAAACAAUUUAUAAUUCUUACUCCGAUUUCGAUCUGAAUCUAUCACUGUUAAAUAUCUCUAUAUCAAUGCCGGAAUAAGAAGAAGUCAAAAUCUUCCUGCUUAUUUUAUUAAUUCCUUGUUGCUAUCUGCUAAUUGAUUUGUCUGUUUCGCCGA
Long non-coding RNA from Rosa chinensis, 518 nucleotides. RefSeq lists it as uncharacterized. The transcript has 2 exons. Lineage: Eukaryota; Viridiplantae; Streptophyta; Magnoliopsida; Rosales; Rosaceae. The record is from RefSeq and is a predicted model, not a curated record.